AGGGGUUUGAUCAGGCUCAGAACGAACGCUGGCGGCAUGCCUAACACAUGCAAGUCGAACGAGGGCUUCGGCCCUAGUGGCGCACGGGUGAGUAACGCGUGGGAACCUGCCCUGUGGUACGGAAUAACUCCGGGAAACUGGAGCUAAUACCGUAUGUGUCCUGCGGGACAAAGAUUUAUCGCCAUGGGAUGGGCCCGCGUAGGAUUAGCUUGUUGGCGGGGUAACGGCCCACCAAGGCUACGAUCCUUAGCUGGUCUGAGAGGAUGAUCAGCCACACUGGGACUGAGACACGGCCCAGACUCCUACGGGAGGCAGCAGUGGGGAAUAUUGGACAAUGGGCGCAAGCCUGAUCCAGCAAUGCCGCGUGAGUGAUGAAGGCCUUCGGGUUGUAAAGCUCUUUCGCACGCGACGAUGAUGACGGUAGCGUGAGAAGAANCCCCGG
RNAcentral lists this ribosomal RNA (442 nucleotides) under uncultured Pseudomonadota bacterium. Its description in RNAcentral is "bacterial SSU rRNA". It matches the Rfam family "Bacterial small subunit ribosomal RNA", at positions 1 to 496 of the family's 1533-position model. The record is from RNAcentral. Lineage: Bacteria; Pseudomonadati; Pseudomonadota.